Molecule: long non-coding RNA, 623 nt
Filed under: Arachis ipaensis
Lineage: Eukaryota; Viridiplantae; Streptophyta; Magnoliopsida; Fabales; Fabaceae
Description: long non-coding RNA (AIPA_LNC000267)
Source: RNAcentral
ACACUUCCAUGGUUCAAUCCUCAGUCCUGUGGCGGCGCUGUUUCUAUCUUCUUCUUCUUCUUCUUCUUCUUUCCUCAACAACUCUCUACUUCUAUGUUUCAAUUUCUAUUCCUUUAGUUCAAAAUACUUUGUUUUCUUUCUUCUUUUUAAUUGCUUUUGGUUUAGGGUUCUCUGUUUGGAUUUUUGGGAACAACAAAAUCAAUCAAACUUCGACAUGUUUGAUGGUAAAGUUCAAAUCUUUUUUCAAUUGGGUAUCUAAAAAGAGAAAAAGACUGGCAUGGAAAUGAUGGUUAUAGUAAAAGGUUUGAGCUGGAAGAACAAACAUUGGGUAGUAAUGGCAGUGUUUUUGAAGCAAAAAGGGCAAUUUGGUCAAUGAUGAAUGAAGAAGACCCCUGUUCCUUGCAAAGCUAUUGCAAUGUGACACUGCGCAACUUCUUCUAAAUAAAAAAAAGGGUGUUAAGAAAAAGGCGUGGGUUGCAUUCUAGUAUGGAUUGACAACCUAGACUUCUCCCAACACUUUUUGUCGAUUGUGUUUUUUUGUUUUCAAUGCACUGUCUAAUGCUUCCAAUGUAACUUCCAGCAUUGAUUAAAAGCCUUCAUACUGAUCCUUGCCACAAUUCCUC